CUACCUUUUGUAGCUUGAUAGAUUUUUAUUAGUGUAGUAUUUUGGUAGUUUGUUAUUAUUUAGCUUGGUAUUAUUCUAAAAUGAAGUUUUUUCUGUAGCUGUGCACAAACCCUAGCAAUGACGGCGCUGAAAAGCGAAGCCAACAAACUGAUGAUCUGAUGGUGGCGUGGCGUGAAUUUGUGAUGACAGUGGUGAAAUUGCUACCCGACCACGUGAGCGACCACCUCAAGGGUCACCUCACCCUGCUACUCAUCAAUGCCCUGGCCGCUGAGAUGACCUCCAUCGUCAAUAUGAACGCCAUUGUUGGCCUCUCAGAAGCUGGCCUCAUGCUCAUCUCCAUGUGCAAAGAGUGUCGCACUAAGAAAGGUUGUAUGGAGCAGAUGGUGCGAAUUUUGUCGAAAUUAUCUCAGCAUUACAUCUACAUUAAACCGAAAGCAAUCACAAUGAUAUUGGCUUUUUCAGCUCGAUUACUAGAUGCCAGUCCUGUUAUUCUACCAGAAGAUGGAAUCGAGGUGUUAAUGGAGUCAGUGUGUGAAAUAAUAGCGAUUGAAGUUGAUCUAUUCAUAAACUCGUGUCAGGACCGAAACAAACCCAGCAAGAAGACUGACAAGUUGACGCUAGCUCUGUGUUUGGCGCUCAGAUUGCAGGCUCUGCUUGAGGAUCAUAGCAGUCUUGUUAAAACUUGGACCAAGAUAAUUCGCUCCAUGAAAUUUGUACAGAGACUGAUAUCCGCCAUAGCAACGUCAUUAAAGUGCCAAAUUGAGCCAAAACUGUGCCUUUUCAUGCUGGAAUUUCUUUUGGCUCUUACAAAUAAAGAGUCGCUUUUCAGACACAUUGACAUGUUCGAUCUCAACUACUACAUAUGGGAGAAUAUCCCACAAUGUACAGCAGGAUAUCCUAAUGAAACAAAAGCCGACUUGAAUAGUCAAUGGAAGCCAGUUUACUGCAGAGGUUUUGAUUUAGUCACAUUUUUGUUAGAAAAUAAUAGCCGCUGGAUAAGAGCAUCCACUUAUGACUUUAUUGAAUUACAUCAAGAUUAUUUAGAAGAACUUCUAAAACUGUUACAGGUGUCUGAUGAUGAGAUCGAUCUUGAGCUAGUAUCUGCUGGUUUGAGACUAUUGAGUCACAUUAUAUCCGACAACGUAUUUUCAAAGAAAUCCAGAAAUCAAAUAUCAAGGCUCAUGACGAGUGUAUAUGAGUGUGUUGGUGUUGUAGUGAAUCUGCUUCUACACCCGAACACACUUAUAUCGCAGUUCUACCUUCCACAUCCAAGAAAGCCGUUGCCGUUGCCUCUGGAGAACAAGCCACUUGAUCAAACCACCAUAAAAAAGGCUCAGAGUGCACAAAUCAAAUUGGUAGAAAUCUAUUGCGAGUGCAUAACAGUUCUUGAUCAACAUUCGCUGGAUCUGAAUGACGUGAUAACUGCCGAUCGACUGGGAGUCCCCCCCUGGGCUAUGCAGCCCCCCCUCGACAUGCUCGAGCCCAUGGACGACUUCUCUGUCAUACUCAACGCCAUCAACCUAUUCACCAGAGUAUUGACUAAGAGUAUGCGUGCUUCUACACCAGUAUCAGGAGAAACAGAAGAUGUGAGUGGCUCUCUGUCGAAGCUGACUGCUGUCAAGCACGAAGACAUCAGAACAUGCUUCUAGAUUAUACUCGAAGAGUUAAGAUCGAUCCAAGACUUGACAGAUUGGCAAGUGAAGACUUUGAAGACAGUGCAAGUGGCAAUGUCCACAAACCACUCACAUGGCCUGAUCCGCCAACUGAGCCACAACCAAAUUAUGAGUCAGCGAAUUCUUCAAGAAAUAGUGUAAGAAGAAAUAUGUUUCCAGAUGAGGCUGGCUCUGCCUGUGAUGCAGCUCAAAUCGACUCUGAUCCAACAGAAAUCCUGCAGAUGGACUUUUCAGCGUUUGCUGUAGACGUUUUGCAAAUGUUUUUCAAAAUGAGUGAAAAAAGAGCCAUUAAUGUGUGAAUUUGUGAUGUUCAUCUUUCAAUUUAGAACUAGUGUGGGUGAAACCUAAUAGGCCUAUUUCUACUCAACUCGGAAUAAAAAUGGUGCUAGCUUUGACUGCCUGCGGUGGAUAGCUGGGGGAGAGUUGCCCCUUCCCCUUCCACCAGCCACAAGUGUCAAUCAUUUUCCCUACUACACGUGCUGGAAGUUGCACUUUCCCUCCUCCCUUCCUCAUAAGAGGAGAAGAAGAGAAAGAAGAAGAAAAAGAAGGGGAAGAGGAGGAAAAGAGAAAGAAAAAGAAGAAGAAGAAGGGGAAGAGGAGGAAAAGAGAAAGAAGAAGAAGAAGAGGGAGAAAAAGGAGAAGGAGAAGAGUAGGAAGAAGAAAAAGAAGAAGCAUAAGAAGGAGAGGAAGAAAAAGAAGAAGCAGAAGGAAAGGAAGAAGAAGAGGAAGAAAAGUAGAAGGAGGGAAAGGAGAAGAGUGUUUCGCCCUUCCACUAACCUUUGUACCGCCCAUACGCCACAUAAGUGGGGGGGGGGGACUGCGCUCCUCCGCUGCAGUCAAGGCGCCAGCACCAUUCUUAUUCCGAUUCGAGAUUAGUAUACUAGGACAUAAUUUAUUGAAUGGACUAAAAGCAUUGUUGCAUGACCUGAUGACUUUUCAUUUUCUUCAUCAUAGCCUUAUUUUUGUUAAAACAUAAAAAUAUCAACCAUUGAUUGAAGAUAAUUUAUUAUUACAGUACCUUUAUUUUACCUACUUUAUUCUCAAGUUAAGUCAGUAAAUUAUCUAUUUAGUCAGUAAACUCGAAUUAAUUAUCACUGUAUAAUAAUAAAUAAUUUUUCAUAACUCGUAA
Molecule: unclassified non-coding RNA, 2802 nt
Filed under: Nilaparvata lugens (brown planthopper)
Lineage: Eukaryota; Metazoa; Arthropoda; Insecta; Hemiptera; Delphacidae
Description: uncharacterized LOC120352359, transcript variant X1
Source: RNAcentral